RNAcentral lists this long non-coding RNA (322 nucleotides) under Mytilus galloprovincialis (Mediterranean mussel). The record is from RNAcentral. Lineage: Eukaryota; Metazoa; Mollusca; Bivalvia; Mytilida; Mytilidae.
GGAACAGCAAGCUACAACGGGCUCCCAAAAAUGACUAGUGUAAAACCAUUUAAACGGGAAAGCCAACGGUCUAAUCUAUAUAAAAACGAGACUGGUUCCUGACUUAGGACAGGUGCAGCCAAAUGCAGUGGGUUUAAAUGUUUUAAUAGGUACCGACCUUCACCCUUAUCUUAAAACAAUAGUAAAACAUCACAACAUAGAAAGAUACAAUAUAAAAUAUCAAUUGAAAUGGCUUAACUUAAUCAAAAGACAUAUAAACACAAUUGAACAUACACAAAUAAAUUUGAUCUAUGACACAAUGUAAAUACAAAAUCAAUAAAAU